This 2314-nucleotide small RNA is filed under the name Pongo abelii (Sumatran orangutan). RNAcentral's name for it is "retained intron". Lineage: Eukaryota; Metazoa; Chordata; Mammalia; Primates; Hominidae. The record is from RNAcentral.
CAGGACCAGAGACCCCUCCAGCGGGAGUGCCAUCUGCUGCUUCCUCCCAGGUGUGGGCUGCAGGACCAGCUGCCCAGGAAUGGCUUUCUCGGGACCUCCUGCACCGGCCUUCCGAUGUGCUGGCCAAGGCACGUCUAUGGCUGCAUCCUCUGCCCAUGGUUUCCUCCAAAGAGUCCGGUCCCCAUGAGGUAUCGGUAGACCCAGCUGGGCCUGAGGCCCUUCUCUUUCACCACCAUUCUUCCAAACAGAGCCUCACUCUGAUCCCCAAGAGCUCCCACCUGAGGGCAGCCCCCUUCAUCUGUCAGCCUGGAUCACAGCAGCCUCCCAGGGCCUUGAGACACAGCCAAGGGAGCCAGCGGGGGGGUCAGCAGCUAUGCACACAAACGGAGGGAGGGAAACUGAGGCACACCAGAGGACUGGAGACCCAGAGGUCACAGUUUCCUCCAGCUCUUUUUUUUUUUUGAGAUGGGGUCUUGCUUUGUCAUCCAGGCUGGAGUCCAGUGGCACGAUCUUGGCUUACUGCAGCCUCCACCUCCCAGAUUCAGGCGAUCCUCCUGCCUCAGCUUCCCGAGUAGCCGGGAUUACAGGCGCACGCCACCAUGCCCAGCUAAUUUUGUAUUUUUAGUAGAGAUGGAGUUUCACCAUGUUGGCCAGGCCGGUCUGGAACUCCUGGCCUCAAGUGAUCCACCCGCCUUGGCCUCCUAUUGUGUUGGGAUUACAGUCAUGAACCACCGCACCGGGUCCCUCGAACCCAUCUUUGGGCUGAGAUUCUCAGGGCAGCCGGAGCCCAUGUGUUCUUGUUUCUGAUACUUUUUCUCUCUCCACUUCUCUCUUGAUGAAGAAGGGGCUUGGACCAUUCCUGCAAACAGCCAAACCGGUGAGAAGAGGCCAGACAUCUGCCUCCAUUUUCCCCAGAGUGGUGCAAGCUCAGCGAGGUCCCCAGGCUCCCCCAGGGGAAGCAGGGUUCCCUGGACACCCCACACCUCCAGCCACGCUCCCCUCGGAGCCUGUAGAGGGUGUCCAGGCUAGUCCCUGGCGGCCACAUCCAGUCUUGCCAGCGCACCCGGCUCUGACCCUGCCCGUGUCCUCAGAUGCCUCCUCUCCUUCACCGCCAGCUCCGAAGCCUGAACGAUCUGAAUCGCUCCUGGUCUCAGGACCGUCUGUCACCCUGACUGAAGGUCUAGGAACUGUGAGGCCUGAGCAGGACCCUGCCAAGUCUCCAGGAAGUCCCCUCCUGCUGAGAGGGCUGUCAGGGGGGGAUGUGGCUGCACCCGAGCCCAUCAGGGGGGAGCCCGGCCAAGCCAGUGAGGAGUUCCAGCCAUUGACAAGGCCCUGGCGGGUCAGACUGGCUGCAGAGGAGCUGGUUUCUCACCAUUCUCCUAGAAAGCCCCAGGAAACAUCCUCUGGAAUGGAGGUGGAGAGGCCACGCCAGACAGGGCCUGGUCUCCCCAGGGAGGGGGCCAGGGGGCGCGUGGACGUUUCAUCCUCAGAACCAAGCCAGGACAUGGAGAGGCUGGGACUCUCCAUCCUGCUGGGGAGGGAUGCCACAUUCUCCACCCCAAGUGUGAGGCAGCCAGACCCCAGUGCCUGUGCCAGGGCCUCAGGACCCGAACUUACCGGGAUGCCCAGGGUGAGGCCGGCAGCGCCCCUGGCAGUUCUUCCUAUGGAACCUCUGCCACCAGAACCUGUUCACCCAGCAGCUCUUCUGACACCCGAAGCCUCAUCUGUAGGAUGGCCAGACCAGGCCCGAUACCUGGAGUCAGCCCCUGGCUGGCCUGUGGGCCAGGAGGAGUCGGGGGUUGCACACACAUCCAGCCCUCCAUCCACGCAAACCCUGAGCCUGUGGGCUCCCACAGGAGUGUCGAUACCCAGCCUGGUGGAGCUUGAACACCCCUUCCAGGCUGGCCGGGGGGCCUCACUCCAGCAGGAGUUGACAGAGCCCACCUUGGCCCUCAGUGCUGAAAGCCACAGGCCUCCUGAGCUUCAGGACAGUGUGGAGGGGCUUUCUGAGAGGCCCCCACGCUGAGCCUCCAUGGAGACUUCAGGCUGGUACCCCGCUGGCUUGGGCAGCCCCAGUGACCCUCAGUGACCCAGCUGCCCCCAGGCUCCCUUUCUUAUUUGCCCAGCUGUGGCUGGGUACAGUGUUCUGGGCCGGAAGAGCACUCACUCAGUGCUUCCCUGGAAAGGUAGACCCCCAGACGCCCACCUCCAGGCAGACCCAUCACUGGAAGUGGGAUUUGAAAUGCAGCCAAGAAGAGGAGACCGUCGGCAACGCCCGCCCGGAACAAGAAAUAAAUAAAUAAAUAAUCAGGGU